CUAAUGCACCGGAUCCCUCCAGAACUCCGCAGUUAAGCGUGCUUGGGCGAGAGUAGUACUAGGAUGGGUGACCUCCUGGGAAGUCCUGGUGUUGCACCCC
This 100-nucleotide ribosomal RNA is filed under the name Gossypium raimondii (Peruvian cotton). The record is from RNAcentral. Lineage: Eukaryota; Viridiplantae; Streptophyta; Magnoliopsida; Malvales; Malvaceae.